CAGCAGCCGCGGGAAUACGAAGAGGGCUAGCGUUAAUCGGAAUUACUGGGCGUAAAGCGUGCGUAGGCGGUUCGUUAAGUCUGUUGUGAAAGCCCCGGGCUCGACCUGGGAAUGGCAAUGGAUACUGGCGAGCUAGAGUGUGUCAGAGGAUGGUGGAAUUCCCGGUGUAGCGGUGAAAUGCGUAGAGAUCGGGAGGAACAUCAGUGGCGAAGGCGGCCAUCUGGGACAACACUGGCGCUGAGGCACGAAAGCGUGGGGAGCAAACAGGAUUAGAUACCCCAGUAGUCCCUGUCUCUUAUAA
RNAcentral lists this ribosomal RNA (301 nucleotides) under uncultured bacterium. RNAcentral's name for it is "partial 16S ribosomal RNA". It matches the Rfam family "Bacterial small subunit ribosomal RNA", at positions 509 to 809 of the family's 1533-position model. The record is from RNAcentral.